This 484-nucleotide ribosomal RNA is filed under the name uncultured bacterium. RNAcentral's name for it is "partial 16S ribosomal RNA". It matches the Rfam family "Bacterial small subunit ribosomal RNA", at positions 29 to 507 of the family's 1533-position model. The record is from RNAcentral.
AUUGAACGCUGGCGGAAUGCUUUACACAUGCAAGUCGAGCGGCAGCGCGGCCUUCGGGCUGGCGGCGAGCGGCGAACGGGUGAGUAAUGCAUCGGAACAUGCCCAGUCGUGGGGGAUAACACUUCGAAAGAAGUGCUAAUACCGCAUACGUCCUGAGGGGGAAAGCGGGGGAUCGCAAGACCUCGCGCGAUUGGAGUGGCCGAUGUCAGAUUAGCUAGUUGGUGGGGUAAAGGCCUACCAAGGCGACGAUCUGUAGCUGGUCUGAGAGGAUGAUCAGCCAAACCUGGACUUAGACCAGGGCCCGACUCCUAAGGGAGGGCGCAGUGGGGAAGUUUGGACAAUGGGGGGAACCCUUGUCCCAGCAAUCCGCGUGGAUUAAGGAGGGCUUCGGGUCGUAAAGCUCUUUCGGCAGGAACGAAACGGUGGGCUCUAACAUAGUCCGCUAAUGACGGUACCUGAAGAAGAAGCACCGGCUAACUACGUG